RNAcentral lists this ribosomal RNA (749 nucleotides) under uncultured Acidovorax sp. Its description in RNAcentral is "bacterial SSU rRNA". It matches the Rfam family "Bacterial small subunit ribosomal RNA", at positions 28 to 774 of the family's 1533-position model. The record is from RNAcentral. Lineage: Bacteria; Pseudomonadati; Pseudomonadota; Betaproteobacteria; Burkholderiales; Comamonadaceae.
AUUGAACGCUGGCGGCAUGCCUUACACAUGCAAGUCGAACGGUAACAGGUCUUCGGAUGCUGACGAGUGGCGAACGGGUGAGUAAUACAUCGGAACGUGCCCGAGAGUGGGGGAUAACGGAGCGAAAGCUUUGCUAAUACCGCAUACGAUCUACGGAUGAAAGCAGGGGACCGCAAGGCCUUGCGCUCAUGGAGCGGCCGAUGGCAGAUUAGGUAGUUGGUGGGAUAAAAGCUUACCAAGCCGACGAUCUGUAGCUGGUCUGAGAGGACGACCAGCCACACUGGGACUGAGACACGGCCCAGACUCCUACGGGAGGCAGCAGUGGGGAAUUUUGGACAAUGGGCGCAAGCCUGAUCCAGCCAUGCCGCGUGCAGGAUGAAGGCCUUCGGGUUGUAAACUGCUUUUGUACGGAACGAAAAGACUCUGGUUAAUACCUGGGGUCCAUGACGGUACCGUAAGAAUAAGCACCGGCUAACUACGUGCCAGCAGCCGCGGUAAUACGUAGGGUGCAAGCGUUAAUCGGAAUUACUGGGCGUAAAGCGUGCGCAGGCGGUUAUAUAAGACAGAUGUGAAAUCCCCGGGCUCAACCUGGGAACUGCAUUUGUGACUGUAUAGCUAGAGUACGGUAGAGGGGGAUGGAAUUCCGCGUGUAGCAGUGAAAUGCGUAGAUAUGCGGAGGAACACCGAUGGCGAAGGCAAUCCCCUGGACCUGUACUGACGCUCAUGCACGAAAGCGUGGGGAGCAAACA